Molecule: ribosomal RNA, 255 nt
Filed under: uncultured bacterium
Lineage: Bacteria
Description: partial 16S ribosomal RNA
Rfam family: Bacterial small subunit ribosomal RNA
Source: RNAcentral
UACGUAGGAGGCGAGCGUUUGUCCGGAAUUAUUGGGCGUAAAGAGCUCGUAGGCGGUUUGUCGCGUCUGUCGUGAAAGUCCGGGGCUUAACCCCGGAUCUGCGGUGGGUACGGGCAGACUAGAGUGCAGUAGGGGAGACUGGAAUUCCUGGUGUAGCGGUGGAAUGCGCAGAUAUCAGGAGGAACACGGAUGGCGAAGGCAGGUCUCUGGGCUGUAACUGACGCUGAGGAGCGAAAGCAUGGGGGAGCGAACAGG